Nicotiana attenuata is the source of this 434-nucleotide long non-coding RNA. RefSeq lists it as uncharacterized. The record is from RefSeq and is a predicted model, not a curated record. The transcript is spliced from 3 exons. NCBI's taxonomy places the organism in Eukaryota, Viridiplantae, Streptophyta, Magnoliopsida, Solanales, Solanaceae.
CACAAAAUGUGAAUCUAAUUUAUGAAACCCAAAAGCCCUAACACCAUUUGUAUUCUAAGAUUGUAUUCAAAUCAGGAGUAGAAAGUAAUUUUUCCAACAAUAUCAUCCUGUAAAGCCCUUCUCGGUGUUGACGAUCUCUUUCGCUGAGAUGGUCCAAACGACAGGACGAGGUAAAGGUCGAAGUGGAACUGGUCAUGGACGUGGCCAUUUUCAAGGACGUGGUAAUUAUGGAGUGAUGUCUCAGCCACAAGUACAACCAAUAGGGAAUACUGCAGCAUCUCCUGAGACAGAAGAAUCAAAUAAUCUUAGUCAAGAACCUCUAGAGAGAGGACAAAUCUUAAGUAACCCUUGGCAAAGACCUUCUCUAGAGACAGUAUCGUCAAGGAAUCUGGACAAAAGUGUGCUUCCCUCUCCUGAAGUUGAAACUGGUGCAG